UAGCUCAGUUGGUAGAGUGUUUGCUUUGCAUGCACAAGUCCCUGGGUUCGAUCCCUAG
This 58-nucleotide transfer RNA is filed under the name Ictidomys tridecemlineatus (thirteen-lined ground squirrel). Its description in RNAcentral is "Spermophilus tridecemlineatus (thirteen-lined ground squirrel) tRNA". It matches the Rfam family "tRNA", at positions 8 to 63 of the family's 71-position model. From Rfam's summary of the family: Transfer RNA (tRNA) molecules are approximately 80 nucleotides in length. Their secondary structure includes four short double-helical elements and three loops (D, anti-codon, and T loops). Further hydrogen bonds mediate the characteristic L-shaped molecular structure. tRNAs have two regions of fundamental functional importance: the anti-codon, which is responsible for specific mRNA codon recognition, and the 3' end, to which the tRNAs corresponding amino acid is attached (by aminoacyl-tRNA synthetases). tRNAs cope with the degeneracy of the genetic code in two manners: having more than one tRNA (with a specific anti-codon) for a particular amino acid; and 'wobble' base-pairing, i.e. permitting non-standard base-pairing at the 3rd anti-codon position. Lineage: Eukaryota; Metazoa; Chordata; Mammalia; Rodentia; Sciuridae. The record is from Rfam by way of RNAcentral.